GGUUGGGUUGUUGCUGGCUUCUAGGAGCAUGUGCACGUCUAAUCCAUUUUUAACCACCUGUGCACCCUAUGUAGACUUGAACAGCUCUCGAGACAAUGUACUCGGUUUGAGAAUUGCUGAUGUGAAAGCUCCAGCUCUUCUUGUGUUCAAGUCUAUGUCUUAUAUUACACCCCAUACGAAUGUAUUAGAAUGUAAUGAAUUGGCCUUGUGCCUUUAAAACAUAAAUACAACUUUCAACAACGGAUCUCUUGGCUCUCGCAUCGAUGAAGAACGCAGCGAAAUGCGAUAAGUAAUGUGAAUUGCAGAAUUCAGUGAAUCAUCGAAUCUUUGAACGCACCUUGCGCUCCUUGGUAUUCCGAGGAGCAUGCCUGUUUGAGUGUCAUGAAAUUCUCAACCUUUCUGGCUUUUGCUAGUCAGGCUUGGAUUAUGGGAGCUGCUGGCUUUUGAAGUCGGCUCUUCUAAAAUGUAUUAGCAAGAUCAUUGCUGCUCAUCAUUGGUAUGAUAAUUAUCUAUAUCAUUGAGAGUCAGUUUCCUUUAUUGGAAGAUUUUGCUCCUAACGGUCUUUAGCAAGACAACAUUUGACAAUUUUGACCUCAAAUCAGGUAGGACUACCCGCUGAACUUAAGCAUAUCAAUA
This 636-nucleotide ribosomal RNA is filed under the name uncultured Mortierella. Its description in RNAcentral is "eukaryotic LSU rRNA". The stretch from base 229 to 382 matches the Rfam family "5.8S ribosomal RNA". Lineage: Eukaryota; Fungi; Mortierellomycota; Mortierellomycetes; Mortierellales; Mortierellaceae. The record is from RNAcentral.